RNAcentral lists this ribosomal RNA (460 nucleotides) under uncultured bacterium. RNAcentral's name for it is "partial 16S ribosomal RNA". It matches the Rfam family "Bacterial small subunit ribosomal RNA", at positions 338 to 795 of the family's 1533-position model. The record is from RNAcentral.
CCUACGGGUGGCAGCAGUGAGGAAUAUUGGUCAAUGGACGAGAGUCUGAACCAGCCAAGUAGCGUGAAGCAUGACUGCCCUAUGGGUUGUAAACUUCUUUUAUAUGGGAAUAAAACGUUCCACGUGUGGGAUUUUGUAUGUACCAUAUGAAUAAGGAUCGGCUAACUCCGUGCCAGCAGCCGCGGUAAUACGGAGGAUCCGAGCGUUAUCCGGAUUUAUUGGGUUUAAAGGGAGCGUAGGUGGAUUGUUAAGUCAGUUGUGAAAGUUUGCGGCUCAACCGUAAAAUUGCAGUUGAAACUGGCAGUCUUGAGUACAGUAGAGGUGGGCGGAAUUCGUGGUGUAGCGGUGAAAUGCUUAGAUAUCACGAAGAACUCCGAUUGCGAAGGCAGUUCACUGGACUGCAACUGACACUGAGGCUCGAAAGUGUGGGUAUCAAACAGGAUUAGAUACCCUUGUAGUC